RNAcentral lists this long non-coding RNA (931 nucleotides) under Lepisosteus oculatus (spotted gar). RNAcentral's name for it is "lncRNA (ENSLOCG00000023294.1)". The record is from RNAcentral. Lineage: Eukaryota; Metazoa; Chordata; Actinopteri; Semionotiformes; Lepisosteidae.
UUGCCAUGGCAACAACAACAAACUCCUUUCUAAGUGAACAAGUGUGACUCAUUAAGCAGGCCAGAGAUUGACACUGUUUAUCAAAUUUGAUUUCUUUUGCUAAGACAAACUAGAUUUAUUUUAUUCCUGCUACUGUUUUUUGUGGAAAUUGGAGGGAUAUUUGAAGAAAACGGUUAUUCCACUUGGUUCUCUUCAGGAAAUGCAGCUCAAGGGUCUAUGAUGCCGAUCUCUUCAGGAGCAACUGGGCAUGUGGGAGUAGGGGUUGACAGCUCUAUAAAAUGGGCGCCCGAAGGAUACAGACAGGAUGCCGAGCUUUCCCCAAGGAACUGUGAUUCUUAUUUGGAGAGGUAUUUAGAAACUCACGCCAGUGCCAGAAAAAGAAACAACAGUGACAAAGCUGUGAUAAUCACACACCAGAAUACACACAGCCUUAAAUCUGGUGCUGCUGGUGAGGAAAUGAACACUGACAGAAAGGGCCACAACGAUAAAACUGUUACAGAUCAGAAGAAUGGCAAAAGUGAUGGUGAUGUCUCAGGAAAUGACCCUAGUAAAACAGCAUCAAACAAAUCAUCAGCCUGUAAUAUUUUAUAAGGACAUUAACUUCAUGUCAUAAACUUUCGCUGGUAAAUGGAUGCUCUUCCCAGGGAAAAAGAUCUGUUCCCUUAUAACUAUUUGAUAUAUACAGUAUUACACAAGUAAUUACACAAAUUCUUAAUAGUCAUUGUAUUAUAUUUACCAUAGAUGUACCAAAAUAACUUGCCUAUGAAUAUUAAAAACGUUAUUUGUAUGGCAUAUUUAGUUUUCCAUCCUAAAAUUCUGUUUAUAAAUUUAGGAAUUCAUUUUCAAUCCAAAUUUCUAAAUGGAUUUUAUUUUAUUGGAUACAAGGCAAACAUGACAUAAAUAAACACAUUUUUAAUUAUGCUAAAUGAUC